RNAcentral lists this long non-coding RNA (486 nucleotides) under Struthio camelus australis. RNAcentral describes it as "lncRNA (ENSSCUG00000003228.1)". Lineage: Eukaryota; Metazoa; Chordata; Aves; Struthioniformes; Struthionidae. The record is from RNAcentral.
AUAAGUAGCAGCUUUAUCCCAUCCUGCAACAAGUUGACUCUCCACAGAAGAUCCACAGAGGAUUUUUCAUGCUAUUCACAGGUUACAUGGGACCUCAUCAUCUUUAAUAACCAAAAAUGAUUACAAACACUCCAGAGACCCCAUAUUCAAAUAAAUCUUUCCAGCAGAAGCCGGUGCUAUUCAACAGAGUAAAAGAGUAUGCAAGAGAGGAGAUGAAGACCAGACGACUUGCAAACAGGGUUGGCACAAAAUGGCAGAAGAGAAUCCAAAAAUGGAAGAAGAGCCUCUUUUUACUGACAGAUGCAAUUAGCCAGGAUUCUGCCGUAGCGGCUUUAACGUUCCAGGGGCCAGAUAUCAAAUGAGAGAUGACUGGGAUACAUUUUAGAGCAAGGUCUCUGAUUCAAGAUCACACAGCUGCUCCAAACCAGGAAGAUGGCCUUGAACACAGAUACACAAGUCUCGAGGGUGGCCGGGUACAUUCAGGGU